ACAGCAGUAGCCACGGGAAUACGUAGGUGGCAAGCGUUGUCCGGAAUUAUUGGGCAUAAAGGGCUCGCAGGCGGUUUCUUAAGUCUGAUGUGAAAGCCCCCGGCUCAACCGGGGAGGGUCAUUGGAAACUGGGAAACUUGAGUGCAGAAGAGGAGAGUGGAAUUCCACGUGUAGCGGUGAAAUGCGUAGAGAUGUGGAGGAACACCAGUGGCGAAGGCGACUCUCUGGUCUGUAACUGACGCUGAGGAGCGAAAGCGUGGGGAGCGAACAGGAUUAGAUACCCCAGUAGUCCCUGUCUCUUAUAA
Molecule: ribosomal RNA, 305 nt
Filed under: uncultured bacterium
Lineage: Bacteria
Description: partial 16S ribosomal RNA
Rfam family: Bacterial small subunit ribosomal RNA
Source: RNAcentral